GCAACACGUCUUGUGUUGACUUUCACUUUUUCUUAUUAUCGGGAGAAUGAACAAUAGUCCGUAAAAUGUGUAGUCAAUUGACGACAGCUUGUCACAUGCUAAGCCUAUCUAUGCCAGCGUGUGUGAUCGCUCACGUUUCAAUAUCAUUCCACUUUCUGGCAUUUUUGUUUACAUGCCUGGCUGGCGACAUCUAACUAGCUCGGAGCUACAAGUGGCUAUUACGUUCAUGGGAUACAUCAAUCAUCCAUUAUCAUCACAACUUUUUUAAAGUGUCACUUAGCAAUCUUGCUUGCUUGUUAUCAUUAUAAUACUAAUGGCUUGUCUGCAAAACACUAGUCGUGUGUCGAAGUUAUGCAACAGAAACACGUAGUGUGUGCAGCUUUAGACAGUGACGCUAUCACAGGCGUCUCCAACAAGUAGCUCACCAGCUGAUGUUGAACGCAGCAGUGGCACAACACAGGGGCAGCCGUCCGCCCUCCCGUGCAGCCCACCACCACAGCUUCAAAAAAUCCUAGGGGAAACCCUGAGAGAGGGAAUUAAAAUACAGAUUGAGAUCAGACAUCACCCACAGAUUCAAGUGGAUUAACAUAAAACCCAUUAAAGGAAAUGGAAAAAGUCAAGUCACAAAGCUGAUAUUCUGCUGACUCACAAGGCACAGAGGACACAACACGCUUCCUGAUGGCUACGCCAUCGAUCUAUCAGACACACUUCCUGUCAGGUGAUGUCUCUCUCACUCUCUCUGCCAGUCCCUCAUGUCCUCUUAAAGAUUACUGCAAUGCCCCGCUUUCCAGUCUUCCUGAAAAGAAUAUUCCAUCGUGACAACUACUGCAAAAUUCAGCGGCACAUGUCCUGACGAAGACCAGAAGGCGGGCCCCCAUUACACCGGCAUUGGUUCCCCAUGUGUUUCAGGAUGGAUUUUAAGGUUCUUAUUAUGGUUCCAUUUGUGGAACAGUUUGUCGGAGGACCUCAGGGCUGCAGAGAAUCUUCAGGUUUUUAAGGCCAGGCCCAAGACCCACCUCUUUGAUCCGGCUUUUACUUAAUAUUUAUUAACUUUAUGAGAGCGAUUUAUUUUUACUGUUAUUUCUGUUAUUAGUAUUAUUAUUUUAUUUAUGUUUUCUAAUUAUAUUCUACUGGUAUCCUGUUUAUUUUUUUAAUCUUUAUCACACUUUGAUUCUCUUUUAAAUCGUUAUAUUGUUAAUCUUAUUUUUAGUCUUUAUUUUUAAUCAUAGUGUUUACUAUUUAUAUUUCUUUUGUUAAAAGGGAAUUUUAAUCUUGAUGAGUUUUUUUUAGUUUUAUCUUCCAGUGUUCUUCAGAAGGAGCCCUCUGCAUUAGGGUUACGUCGGCCAUGGCUGCGGGGGUCCACACAGUGUCCUGUCAGUGGUCUGAUGGGCUCCUGGUGCAGACGGCUCCUGUGACAGUGUUUCCUCACCUGCCUCCUAUUUGCUUUGCCUAUUUUAAUUCCAUAUUUCAAUUCUAUGGCUAAAUGUGCACGUGUGUGUGUGUGUGUGUGUGUGGUGCGGGGGUAUGGGAGAGGUGUUGUUCAGGGCAUUGUCUUUAACUUUGUAUGAAAAGUGCUUUAUAAAUAAAGUUUGAUUUGAUGAUUUGACUUGUAGUUAUAUAGAACAAAGUGAAUUGUUUGAUAGCUCUGCUCCAUGUCCUGAAAUCCACUCUAGAGAUGUGUGUUUUUUACACUUUUUUUUGUGAAACUAUUAUUUCAUGAUUAGUUGGAAAAUGUGCCCAUUGCUGAAACCUUUUUAACAUGUUAUUAACAUGUUAUAUUUGUAAUGUUUAAUAGCAACUGGACGUAAAACAUGAACUGUCUGAAUAAUGAACGCCACGUAGCUAUUUUUCCUGACUACUCAGGUUAUGUGCAGAACCAUGGAGGAAUUAUGUGUAAUUAUCUUUACUGUCAUAUCGAAUUGAAUUGUGAAUUAUUGAACAAUAUGAACUACUUUGAUUACCUGUAAACUAUGAAACUGUGAAUGUGAAAUAUUAAUCAUUAGUAGGGGAGUCACGAGAUACCCAAUACACGAGACAAGACUAUGCAUGAGAUUGGGUCCAUGAGAACGAGACGAGAGAAGAUUUCAACAUUAAUUUUAAGAAAAGUACAAUGAAAAAAUAUGACUGGCCAGACUUUUUUUAUUUAACCGAGUCACCAAACGAUGCAGUGCCAACGGCAUCUACAACCACCACCAAACAUUUGUUCACAUUUAUACACUAGUGUAAGCUCCACUGGAGGCAAGGUGGGUGAAGUGUCUUGCCCAAGGACACAACAGCAGUGCCUGGUAUAGAGGAAACUAGGUUUGAACCACCAACCCUGGACGACCACCUCUUGAGAUAUGUAUAACAAAAUAAAUGUAUGAUGGCAAUAUUUGGCCGUUGGACUUUUGGUAAUAGGUGAGGUACUCCCUGGGCUGGUUGCCAGUCAGUAACAGGACACACAACACUCACAUUCAUACAAUGUAAAGUACUUAAUUAACCUAGAUGCGUAUUUUAAGGAUGUGCAAAAACCCAUACGAGCACAUGGAGAAAUUGCAAACUCCACACAGAAAGACCUGAUGAGAAUGGAAAAGGCAUUUGGAUGUGCUAACUACACAGUCACUGUGCUGAC
This is a long non-coding RNA of Dunckerocampus dactyliophorus (ringed pipefish), 2611 nucleotides long. RefSeq lists it as uncharacterized. The record is from RefSeq and is a predicted model, not a curated record. The transcript has 3 exons. NCBI's taxonomy places the organism in Eukaryota, Metazoa, Chordata, Actinopteri, Syngnathiformes, Syngnathidae.